Molecule: ribosomal RNA, 469 nt
Filed under: uncultured bacterium
Lineage: Bacteria
Description: bacterial SSU rRNA
Rfam family: Bacterial small subunit ribosomal RNA
Source: RNAcentral
ACUCCUACGGGAGGCAGCAGUGGGGAAUAUUGCACAAUGGGCGCAAGCCUGAUGCAGCCAUGCCGCGUGUGUGAAGAAGGCCUUCGGGUUGUAAAGCACUUUCAGUCGUGAGGAAGGUGGUAGUGUUAAUAGCACUAUCAUUUGACGUUAGCGACAGAAGAAGCACCGGCUAACUCCGUGCCAGCAGCCGCGGUAAUACGGAGGUGCGAGCGUUAAUCGGAAUUACUGGGCGUAAAGCGCAUGCAGGUGGUUUGUUAAGUCAGAUGUGAAAGCCCGGGGCUCAACCUCGGAAUAGCAUUUGAAACUGGCAGACUAGAGUACUGUAGAGGGGGUAGAAUUUCAGGUGUAGCGGUGAAAUGCGUAGAGAUCUGAAGGAUACCGGUGCGAAGGCGGCCCCUGGACAGAUACUGACACUCAGAUGCGAAAGCGUGGGAGCAAACAGGAUUAGAUACCCCGUGGUAGACUGUCA